UGGCGAACGGGUGAGUAACACGUGGGCAACCUGCCCUCAGCUUUGGGAUAACUCCCGGAAACGGGUGCUAAUACCGAAUAUUGACAUUGUCUCGCAUGGGGUGGUGUUGAAAGUUUUUCGGCUGGGGAUGGGCCCGCAGCCUAUCAGCUUGUUGGUGGGGUGAUGGCCUACCAAGGCGACGACGGGUAGCCGGCCUGAGAGGGCGACCGGCCACACUGGAACUGAGACACGGUCCAG
Molecule: ribosomal RNA, 237 nt
Filed under: uncultured bacterium
Lineage: Bacteria
Description: partial 16S ribosomal RNA
Rfam family: Bacterial small subunit ribosomal RNA
Source: RNAcentral